UGUUACAAUGGGGGGUACAGAGGGCCGCUACCACGCGAGUGGAUGCCAAUCCCCAAAACCUCUCUCAGUUCGGACUGGAGUCUGCAACCCGACUCCACGAAGCUGGAUUCGCUAGUAAUCGCGCAUCAGCCACGGCGCGGUGAAUACGUUCCCGGGCCUUGUACACACCGCCCGUCAAGCCAUGGGAGCCGGGGGUACCUGAAGUGCGUAACCGCGAGGAGCGCCCUAGGGUAAAACUGGUGACUGGGGCUAAGUCGUAACAAGGUAGC
RNAcentral lists this ribosomal RNA (269 nucleotides) under uncultured bacterium. RNAcentral's name for it is "partial 16S ribosomal RNA". It matches the Rfam family "Bacterial small subunit ribosomal RNA", at positions 1223 to 1500 of the family's 1533-position model. The record is from RNAcentral.